GGCUUCGUAGCUCAGCCGUAAGAACGUGCGCUGUNAGCGUGGGCGGUGCUCAUGCGUGGGUUCGAAUCCCACCAAGGCUA
Molecule: transfer RNA, 80 nt
Filed under: Echinostoma caproni
Lineage: Eukaryota; Metazoa; Platyhelminthes; Trematoda; Plagiorchiida; Echinostomatidae
Rfam family: tRNA
About the family: Transfer RNA (tRNA) molecules are approximately 80 nucleotides in length. Their secondary structure includes four short double-helical elements and three loops (D, anti-codon, and T loops).
Source: Rfam by way of RNAcentral